CGCCGUUGCGAGGUGAUAUUUUAAGAGCACUGUGUUCUUCACGGAACCGGAGCGACCGCGCGCGCAGCGGACAGCGAAUACUCUUAUCAUCGACUUUGGGCUCGAGGCCGCUUCUGGGAGAGAUUAUGAACCGCUGAGCUGCGCGGCCCGCAGGCAGCGGCGUGACGGGACUGCUGACCCCGCUCUUUAACGGGGCUGCUCGGAUCUGUUAGUCAGGUGCGCCGCGCCGAGCGAAGCCCUGGCGGUUUGUUUACGAAUCCUUUGAACUCGAAUUUGAAAUUUGAAAAACGCUCAACUCGAAAACCGUUAACGAGUAACGCGCAGAGCCAAUCCGCUGGACGCCGCGCCGCUGAGCCGCUGAGCCGCUGCAGCUCAAACCCGAGCGCAGCUCGUUAAAGAAACCUGCUGUUCGUUUGGAUUCGCAGGCUCGUCUGUCCGGCCGGUGUCGCCUAAUGAGGAGUUGUUGGAGGACGUGUGUUAGAGAGUGGAGCAAUGUUCAGGUGAACAGAGCAGUGGUCAGAAAGGUGUGUGUGCUGCAGCCCUCAGGAUCUUCCCGCUGAGUGCGCCCUAAUCGGUCAACAACGUCGAAAGUCGCCUACUUUAAGAGGAAGUAUGCGGAAGAGGAGGAUGUCCAAGGAGGCCUACAGGGAUAUUUACAAAAACACCUGAUCUUGCACGAGGAGCGCAGCUGCAUCUUGCGUCUCUCGCUGCAGAAACUGCGUUUCCUGGACGAUCCCGAGGCCUACCUGCGCCGCUCCGUCCUCAUCAACAACCUGCUGCGCAAGAUCCACCUGGACGAGGAUCAGCGUGAGCGAGAGAGGCAGAGGAAUGAAGAGGAGGAAGAGAGGGGUCCGGCCUCGCAGAGACUGUUCUACAUGGGCUGCAAGAGGCUGAAGGUGGUGGUGGCAGAAUGCUGCUCGCAAACCUUCGGCCUCCAGGAGCUCCAGCCGUACAGCCUGCUGCAGUACGCCGCCUCCCCGGCCUCGUGCCCCUGCGGCCUGGCAGGCUGUCCCGCUCUGCCUCCUGACCACAGACCUCCAAUACUGCUCUACCGGCUCAGUGAUAACUGAUGAUGUCCCAGUCCGUUUAAGCAUGAGGUGAAUGUUUGAGCUUGGGUUGACUGAAUGCUGGAGCACUCAGCGCGUACUUAAACGGACUGGGACAUCAUCAAUCGUCAUUGAGCUGGUAGAGCAGUAUUGGAGGUCCGUUGUCAAGAGGCCGUUCGUUUAAGCUUCUUUAAGCGCAGCAUUUGUAGCUGCCAGCCUGUGACUUGAAGCAAACGCCAAGUUGUUGGUGGCACGUUGCAGAGAAAAGAAGGUGGGUUUGGGGCCCCAGCUUUAGAAAACAAGCUCAGAGUCGUGCCUGGGGCUGCACCUUCGGCGAAUCAGGGUCUGCUUUCUUUUCCUACAGAAAAAAAAAACAUGGACUACUUCACUCAAGCCUAACUGCCUCUUAUUGAUCUUAAAUGCAAGACCUUUAGGACUUUUAUUUUGCUUUUUAAAAAAAAAAAAAGAUAUAUCACCUAUCUAAGCAUUUUUUCAGGGAUUGAAAAAAAAGAAAAAUAAAGCCAU
Pygocentrus nattereri (red-bellied piranha) is the source of this 1571-nucleotide long non-coding RNA. RefSeq lists it as uncharacterized. The record is from RefSeq and is a predicted model, not a curated record. NCBI's taxonomy places the organism in Eukaryota, Metazoa, Chordata, Actinopteri, Characiformes, Serrasalmidae. The transcript has 4 exons.